Molecule: transfer RNA, 69 nt
Filed under: Rhynchocypris oxycephala (Chinese minnow)
Lineage: Eukaryota; Metazoa; Chordata; Actinopteri; Cypriniformes; Leuciscidae
Description: Phoxinus oxycephalus (Chinese minnow) tRNA-Phe
Source: RNAcentral
GCUAGCGUAUCUUAGUGCAAAGCAUAACACUGAAGAUGUUAAGAUGGGCCAUGAGAAGCUCCGCAUGCA